GGAAAGAUGUAGUCCUCCACUCCGAAUGUCCUGGUGUUGGGACCGGUGACGUUGAAACCAUGCUGGCCGAACACCACGCGAAGCUGAGACUUCAGGGGGCUGAGGGAAGACACACUGUUAUCAGUCAGAGUGACAUAAAUACAAAUACCAGCAUCCACUGCAUCUCAAGUGCACUCACGACAUACUUGCGGAAGAAGCAGUGAGCCGCAGAGACAACCCAGCAAGAGGCGAUCAGGCUGCCGGCGCAGAAGUCUGACUGUCCAAUGUAAAUGGCUGCCAUCCAGGGGCUUUUUUGCCGGCUCGUCGGAGUUUGUUUUUUUAACGCUGGGCGGGACAUUCAAUGGGAUAAUCCUCCGAGAAGAAGCUGCACGAGGAAAGAAGUGAAAGUACAUGAUUAUUUCAAACUUAUCAGAUAGCAGGUUUUGUGCAUAUGCGUAUGCUAAAUACUCGAUUUCUCCCCUGCGAGAAGCGAGAAAAGCUGCUCUAUAGGGCAACAAUGUUAGGGUAACAGAGCAACCACAUGCUAAAAAUCAUAUGUAGAGGACACAGCAGAUGGGAAAAGCUUGUGGAUUCUGUGCAUACCCUUGGCAUCAUGACAGGCGGCCAACUGUGCCAAA
This is a long non-coding RNA of Micropterus salmoides (largemouth bass), 617 nucleotides long. RefSeq lists it as uncharacterized. NCBI's taxonomy places the organism in Eukaryota, Metazoa, Chordata, Actinopteri, Centrarchiformes, Centrarchidae. The transcript is spliced from 3 exons. The record is from RefSeq and is a predicted model, not a curated record.